CUAAAAUUCUAGCCCAAUUAAAAUAUUCUAACAGUUUAGUAAAGAAGAUUAAAAAACUUUUAAGAGCUAUAAACUUGUACCGCAAGGGAAAAAUGAAAUAAAAAUGAAAUAAACAUUAAGCAGAAAAAAGUAAAGAUUAAUUCUUGUUCCUUUCGCAUCAUGAUUUAGCUAGUCUAACUAGGCAAAAAGAUUUAAAGUCUAACCCCCCGAAACUAGGUGAGCUAAUUUAAGGCUGCUUAUUGAGCUAACCCGUCUAUGUUGCAAAAUAGUGGGAAGACCUUAAAAUAGGGGUGACAAACCUACCGAACUUAGUAAUAGCUGGUUUCUCAAGAAAAGAAUUUAAGUUCAACCUAAAGAAAAACUUUAGAGCAAUUCAAACGAGGUACAGCCCGUUUGAAACAGGAUACAACCUUCAUUAACGGGUAAUAAUUGAUAUCACCUUCAAGUAGGCCUAAUAGCAGCCAUCUUUUAAAAAGCGUCAAAGCUUAAAAUUCUAAACUUUUUAUUCACCCCUUUUACCAUACUGAGAACUUCUAUAACCUUAUAGAACCUUUAAUGCUAAAACUAAUAACAAGAGAAAGACCCUCUCCUAAACGCAAGCAUAAGCCAGCAAGUACUUACCACUGGCAAUUAACAAAAAGUAGUAACUUACCACAAGAAAAUUCUUCUUACACCCUUGUUAACCUUACACUAGAACGUUACAGGAAAGAUUGAAAGAAAAAGAAGGAACUCGGCAAACAAUAAAUCCCGCCUGUUUACCAAAAACAUCGCCUCUUGGUAAGAGGUCCAGCCUGCCCAGUGACCCUGUUCAACGGCCGCGGUAUCCUAACCGUGCAAAGGUAGCGUAAUCACUUGUUUUCUAAAUAAAGACUAGUAUGAAAGGCACCACGAGGAAUAAGCUGUCUCCUUUUUCUAAUCAGUGAAUCUAAUCUCCCCGUGAAGAAGCGGGGAUUUAAAUAUAAGACGAGAAGACCCUGUGGAGCUUAAGACUUUAUAGCACCUACCGUAUUUUAACUACACGUCUUUGGUUGGGGUGACCGCGGAGAAAAACUAACCCUCCACAAUGAAUCCCUAAGCAGUGAGCUACAGCUUUAUGUAUCAAAAAAUUGACAUGUUGACCCAAUAAGUUGAUCAAUGAACCAAGUUACCCCAGGGAUAACAGCACAAUCCGCUUUGAGAGCUCAUAUCGACAAGCGGGCUUAUGACCUCGAUGUUGGAUCGGGGUAUCCCAGUGGUGUAGCCGCUACUAAAGGUUUGUUUGUUCAACAAUUAAAACCCCACGUGAUCUGAGUUCAGACCGGAGUAAUCCAGGUCAGUUUCUAUCUAUAAGACGCUAAUUUCAGUACGAAAGGACCAAAAUAGCAUGGCCAAUGCUCAUGCAAGCCAUACUUAAUAAUUUUAGACCCUCAAAAAAUGUUUAAUUC
RNAcentral lists this ribosomal RNA (1424 nucleotides) under Pristimantis yukpa. RNAcentral describes it as "16S ribosomal RNA". It matches the Rfam family "Bacterial large subunit ribosomal RNA", at positions 395 to 2814 of the family's 2925-position model. The record is from RNAcentral. Lineage: Eukaryota; Metazoa; Chordata; Amphibia; Anura; Strabomantidae.